RNAcentral lists this ribosomal RNA (253 nucleotides) under uncultured bacterium. Its description in RNAcentral is "partial 16S ribosomal RNA". It matches the Rfam family "Bacterial small subunit ribosomal RNA", at positions 524 to 776 of the family's 1533-position model. The record is from RNAcentral.
UACGGGGGGGGGUAAGCGUUGUUCGGAAUUACUGGGCGUAAAGGGCUCGUAGGCGGCCAACUAAGUCAGACGUGAAAUCCCUCAGCUUAACUGGGGAACUGCGUCUGAUACUGGAUGGCUUGGAUUCGGGAGAGGAAUGCGGAAUUCCAGGUGUAGCGGUGAAAUGCGUAGAUAUCAGGAGGAACACCUGUGGUGUAGACAGCUUGCUGGACCAUAACUGACGCUGAGGCACGAAAGCGUGGGAGCAAACAGG